GCUGAAGCCCUGUGUCCUAGGAGUGGGCUGAAGCACAGUGAGGUGAAGUGAUUUGCAAAGACAAAUAGGGUGGGAGCCUCAUUUUUGCCUCAAGCCUGGGGGUGCGCUGACUUACUAGUCUCCUGCUUCUGGCCUCAGGAGGUAAUUUCUCCCACUGGCUGCUUCCUGGCUUCCUCCUGUUCGGAGGCCGUUGGCAGGUCCUCCGUCUUCAGCAGCUCAUGGUGGGAAGGCUGGGGAGAGGCGAAGGACUCGGUCCCGUGGGUGUUGCUUGAGAGCCGCAGCUGAAUAAUAGGGGUCUCCAAGCCUCUAUAUAAAUCGUGUAGACAAGUUUAAACUAUGAAUCAUUAAGGUAGGAGGGAGGGUACACCAAAUCAAUAAAUAGCAAAGUAAGGGAAAAGCUCUCAUUACACUGAAGUUGAAGCACCAAUUUUGUUGUGUUCGGUCACAGCUGUAAUUGUCUCACUAAUCACUUUAUGGUGGAUUCCCAAAGUGGCCACCUUGGAGAAUGAACAAAGCCCUGUUCUUAUUUUUAAUCAGAGGAACAAGUCAACUAUACCUAACACUUUUUCUUUUUCUUUUCUUAAGUACUUGUUGUUAAAAAAGCCUUCCUGGCCGGGCACGGUGGCUCACACCUGUAAUCCCAGCACUUUGGGAAGCUGAGGCGAGCGGAUCACCUGAGGUCGGGAGUCCGAGGCCAGCCUGACCAACGUGGAGAAAACCUGUCUCUCCUAGGAAAUACAAAAUUAGCUGGGCGUGGUGGCACAUGCCUGUAAUCCCAGCUACCCGAGAGGCUAAGGCAGGAGAAUGGCUUGAACCCAGGAAGUGGAGGUUGCGGAGAGCUGAGAUUGCGCCACUGCACUCCAGCCUGGGCCACAGGAGCAAAACUCCGUCUGAAAAAAAAAAAAAAAAAAAAAAAACCUUCUCAGCAGCUAACCAAGGAAAUGGCACGGACUUUGCUCUUUGGGCUUCAGGUGGGGCUUUUCCCCACGCUGCGGGCCACGAUGGAACAUUGCUGAUGUGUUGUUCAGACCUGGCACCAGGGCAGACCCAGUGGAGAUAGGGACCCCAUCUUUGCAGACCGCGGCUGUGAGAUUCAUGCGGGCUGAUGUCACCCCUUCUCAGAAGGGCCCAGAACUGACAAUGGGAGCUGCUACCCUGAGCCCAUUUCUCACCAGUGAGGAGUGAAGUGGAUAGGAUGGAACACCUGGGAGAAAUCUAGCGUCUGAUUUGAGAGGUCCUGGGAGUCGGCAAGAAGGGCGUGCUUGGCUUGAGGAAGGAUCACGAAAGCAGAAAGGAUUCCGUGAGAGGGAAGACACACAAAAGCUGUGCAGAAGACAGUGGUGAUGGCUGCACAGCAAUGGAAACGCACAUCACGACAUGGAAUUGGACGCUUAGAGAUGGUUAAAAUGGUAAAUUUUACAUUAUGUAUAUUUCACGACAAUGAAACAAAAAGGCUAUACUGGGUCGUAUUGGAAUCUAAGGCAAAAGGAAAAACUAGUAAUACCAAUCCUGUCUGUAGUUAAAGUCUUGAUAUUUUAUUCAAGGAUUUUUUGCAUAAAUUUAGAUUUUUAAAACAUGAUUGUGUUAAAAUUGUA
RNAcentral lists this long non-coding RNA (1595 nucleotides) under Homo sapiens (human). RNAcentral describes it as "HSALNT0323942". Lineage: Eukaryota; Metazoa; Chordata; Mammalia; Primates; Hominidae. The record is from RNAcentral.